UUUCUUUCUGUUAUGAAAUUAUUCACUAAAGUAUUUAAAACGGGUUCUAACACAUCAGGUGGUACCAAUUCAUGGGAAGCUUGUGCUAUGAACUGUAAAAGUUUGGUAACCUCUGAAGAAAAAACAAAUAUGUUCAUCAAGAAGUUCAAAAAAUAAACUGAGAAGUGCAGUGGGUUCUAAAAGUGAUUUGUUGCGUAGUUGAAUCAACACUUUACAAAAUGUCUGUAAAAAAUAUAAUUACAAUAUAGUAAACAAUUAUAUGUGACACAAUUUAUUUACAUAAUAUCAUCUGGAUAACAAUGGGCUACCUGCAAUGAUACGAAAAAAAAUACGACACGACAAGCGUAUUUAGCAUGUGUAUUUUAUUGAACAAUUUCUUAAAAUUGUAAAAAAAUAGUUAUGCGGUUAAUAUAUAUGUUGUAAAAAAAAUACUAUUUUAUUACAAAUACACUAUAUUUAUGUACGAAAUUGAUAACUGUGUCAUUGUUUAAAUAAUAAAUUAUAAUAUUAUAAA
Molecule: long non-coding RNA, 514 nt
Organism: Cataglyphis hispanica
Lineage: Eukaryota; Metazoa; Arthropoda; Insecta; Hymenoptera; Formicidae
Exons: 3
Source: RefSeq, a predicted model, not a curated record